Molecule: non-coding RNA, 52 nt
Filed under: Morganella psychrotolerans
Lineage: Bacteria; Pseudomonadati; Pseudomonadota; Gammaproteobacteria; Enterobacterales; Morganellaceae
Description: L31-Gammaproteobacteria ribosomal protein leader
Rfam family: L31-Gammaproteobacteria ribosomal protein leader
Source: RNAcentral
CGUGUGGUGUCCGGCAACAAUGACCGGAUAGCGACGCGGCCUUAACUGAGGU